GCAGCUAGUCCAUGUGUGUCGAUGUUUUCGUUCUAUAUGGUGAAGAAUGCUAAGCGUUCAAGAAUUUGUCGCCUAAUUGGAUUCUAAGACCCUUUUUUUGUAGCUUUUGUUGGGCUCACACAAUAAAUAGAGUAACGUUCUUUUGGGU
This is a non-coding RNA of Helicobacter muridarum, 148 nucleotides long. Lineage: Bacteria; Pseudomonadati; Campylobacterota; Epsilonproteobacteria; Campylobacterales; Helicobacteraceae. The record is from Rfam.